This 466-nucleotide ribosomal RNA is filed under the name uncultured bacterium. Its description in RNAcentral is "partial 16S ribosomal RNA". It matches the Rfam family "Bacterial small subunit ribosomal RNA", at positions 28 to 507 of the family's 1533-position model. The record is from RNAcentral.
GAUGAACGCUGGCGGCGUGCUUAACACAUGCAAGUCGAACGAUGAAGCCCAGCUUGCUGGGUGGAUUAGUGGCGAACGGGUGAGUAACACGUGAGUAACCUGCCCUUAACUCUGGGAUAAGCCUGGGAAACUGGGUCUAAUACCGGAUAGGAGCGUCCACCGCAUGGUGGGUGUUGGAAAGCUUUAUCGGUUUUGGAUGGACUCGCGGCCUAUCAGCUUGUUGGUGAGGUAAUGGCUCACCAAGGCGACGACGGGUAGCCGGCCUGAGAGGGUGACCGGCCACACUGGGACUGAGACACGGCCCAGACUCCUACGGGAGGCAGCAGUGGGGAAUAUUGCACAAUGGGGGCAAGCCUGAUGCAGCGACGCCGCGUGAGGGAUGACGGCCUUCGGGUUGUAAACCUCUUUCAGUAGGGAAGAAGCGAAAGUGACGGUACCUGCAGAAGAAGCACCGGCUAACUACGUG